This 1232-nucleotide ribosomal RNA is filed under the name metagenome. RNAcentral describes it as "SSU rRNA". It matches the Rfam family "Eukaryotic small subunit ribosomal RNA", at positions 506 to 1761 of the family's 1831-position model. The record is from RNAcentral.
UUAUCGGAAUGAGAACAAUUCAAAUCCUUUAACGAGGAUCUAGCGGAGGGCAAGUCUGGUGCCAGCAGCCGCGGUAAUUCCAGCUCCGCAGGUGUAUAUCUAUGCUGCUGCGGUUAAAAAGCUCGUAGUUGGAUCUGCGUGCUCGGAACUGGUUGGCUCACUGAGUUCAAACUGGUCUCCGGCGCUUUAUUGGCUGGUUUUCCCUUGAUGCUCUUAACCGGGUGUCUUGGGUGGCUAGCACGUUUACUUUGAAAAAAAUUAGAGUGCUCAAUACAGGCGUAAAGCCUUGAAUAGUGGUGCAUGGAAUAAUAGAAUAGGACCUCGGCUCUAUUUUGUUGGUUUUCGGAACGCGAGGUAAUGAUUAAGAGGGACAGACGGGGGCAUUCGUAUUGCGACGUUAGAGGUGAAAUUCUUGGAUCGUCGCAAGACGGACGACUGCGAAAGCAUUUGCCAAGAAUGUUUUCAUUAAUCAAGAACGAAAGUUAGAGGUUCGAAGGCGAUCAGAUACCGCCCUAGUUCUAACCGUAAACGAUGCCAACUAGCGAUUCGCAGGCGUUAAACAACGACCUUGCGGGCAGCUUCCCGGAAACGAAAGUGUUCGGGUUCCGGGGGAAGUAUGGUUGCAAAGCUGAAACUUAAAGGAAUUGACGGAAGGGCACCACCAGGAGUGGAGCCUGCGGCUUAAUUUGACCCAACACGGGAAAACUCACCCGGCCCGGACACCGUAAGGAUUGACAGAUUGAGAGCUCUUUCUUGAUUCGGUGGGUGGUGGUGCAUGGCCGUUCUUAGUUGGUGGAGCGAUUUGUCUGGUUUAUUCCGAUAACGAACGAGACUCUGGCCUACUAAAUAGUGGGCGGAUUCUUUCUGUCCGCAACACUUCUUAGAGGGACAAGCGGUGUUCAGCCGCACGAGAUUGAGCAAUAACAGGUCUGUGAUGCCCUUAGAUGUCCGGGGCUGCACGCGCGCUACACUGAAGGAAUCAGCGUGCUUUCUGACCUUGCCCGAAAGGGCUGGGUAACCCGAUGAAAAUCCUUCGUGAUUGGGAUAGGGACUUGCAAUUAUUUCCCUUGAACGAGGAAUUCCCAGUAAGUGUGGGUCAUAAGCUCGCGUUGAUUACGUCCCUGCCCUUUGUACACACCGCCCGUCGCUGCCCGGAACUGAGCCGUUUCGAGAAGAACAGGGACCGUCGUUGAAGGGCCUUAAUGGGCUUUUCUCUGAUAGAAACUGUUUUA